UAAGAGCCAUCCAUUCAUCAUGUUAGCAGCAGGAGAACCCACCACAGGCUAUGGGAGUUUAUCUCCUGACAACCCAUCGUUCCCUUUCCCCUCGAUACAGUCCGGCGCGGCUGCCAGGGCCCGUCUCGUGCCCCUCCGACAGAAUCUUUUGCCUGGCUCCCCUUUGCGAUUCUCCCGAUCCGAUUUGGUGACGAGGAAAGAUCAUUUCCCCCUGUCCACAAAACAGCUUGGCGGCAGGAUCCGAUGUCUGCGUGAUGGCGCUCUACCGGCACGACCGAACGGUGCAGCUCGUUGCAGCGGCUCUCCGGGAUUAUCUCCUGUUAUUUCCCAUGCCUGUGUCGUGCCUGCGUCCCCGAGGCGGCGUCCGUGUGCCAUGCUCCUCCUCUCCCUUCUCGAUGUUAAUUCCGAUGAAGGUAACUCUGACGUGGCUGAGAAGGUUGGAUUUGAUCAGUUUGCCGGAUCGGACCGGCCAUUGGGGUCCGGAGCAGGUUUAUUUCCGGCCGGGGAGGAGGCUCUGGUAGCCACGCUGACCUCAGCCAGUUCUCUGGAGCAUGUAUUGUCGCUAUUCCCCUUCUCAGUGUGGCUCCUGCGUCCAUGGUCACAUGGUCCUCCUCAGUUGCCGAUCAUAUUUCGUGGUGCCAUUGUAGAGAGCCGGCCUCAUGGACCGGAUGCGGGUGGUGGUCCAGCUCUUUGGGGCCUCCUCACGUGCUUCCCGUCGACGGCAUCGGCAGUCACGAGGAGAUAGAGCAGAAGGUGUGGCUGAGGCUAGGACCGGCGCGACGGUGCCACGCGGUGAGGAACCUGCGGUCGCUGUCCUUGGAAGACCUACCGCAGACUCCGGUCACGACGAGCCUGCACGCCUAACCCUGGACGAGCUCAGCAUCUCACCGUCAAGUACCUCGACCUCUAUAGCGACGGCAUCCAGGGGCCGCAAGUGGCUGGCGUAUGUGGUGUAUCUAGGGAUGCUGAGACACCCGCACUUGCCGCAAUGGUAUCCAUUCUCUGUGAAAGCUGGGCUCCUUCGUGUGAGGCUGUGAGCAGGAAGUCCUGCUCCUGUAUUUUGUUUGCGGCAAGGGCGACGAACUUCCGAGUACGACGACAGGACGGUGACUACUCUGCCUUCUUCUAUAUUGAUGAACUUCAAUUGUAGUUAAGAAGAAUACUCUCAAUUCAUGAUGAUCCAAUGCAUGAAUAAAAAUAUGUCUUUUGGAUAGUUUAUAUUUGAUUCUUUAUUAUCAAUUUAUUAUUCAUGUUUAAGCAAACAAAAUGUUACAACCAUGCCGAGAAGGCCAUAAGGCACUACAAAUGUAUUCAUUAUUUUGUAAAACUUCAAGUACCUAUGUAUGAUUCACAUAUAUAUAACAUGAGUAAAAUUACACUC
This is a long non-coding RNA of Aegilops tauschii subsp. strangulata, 1381 nucleotides long. RefSeq lists it as uncharacterized. NCBI's taxonomy places the organism in Eukaryota, Viridiplantae, Streptophyta, Magnoliopsida, Poales, Poaceae. The record is from RefSeq and is a predicted model, not a curated record.